CCUACGGGUGGCAGCAGUGAGGAAUAUUGGUCAAUGGACGAGAGUCUGAACCAGCCAAGUAGCGUGAAGGAUGACUGCCCUAUGGGUUGUAAACUUCUUUUAUAUGGGAAUAAAAUGUUCCACGUGUGGGAUUUUGUAUGUACCAUAUGAAUAAGGAUCGGCUAACUCCGUGCCAGCAGCCGCGGUAAUACGGAGGAUCCGAGCGUUAUCCGGAUUGAUUGGGUUUAAAGGGAGCGUAGGUGGAUUGUUAAGUCAGUUGUGAAAGUUUGCGGCUCAACCGUAAAAUUGCAGUUGAAACUGGCAUUCUUGAGUACAGUAGAGGUGGGCGGAAUUCGUGGUGUAGCGGUGAAAUGCUUAGAUAUCACGAAGAACCCCGAUUGCGAAGGCAGCUCACUGGACUGCAACUGACACUGAGGCUCGAAAGUGUGGGUAUCAAACAGGAUUAGAUACCCGAGUAGUC
This 460-nucleotide ribosomal RNA is filed under the name uncultured bacterium. RNAcentral's name for it is "partial 16S ribosomal RNA". It matches the Rfam family "Bacterial small subunit ribosomal RNA", at positions 338 to 795 of the family's 1533-position model. The record is from RNAcentral.